CUGGCGGCGUGCUUACACAUGCAAGUCGAACGGGAUCCAAAGCUUUGCUUGCGGUGUGAGAGUGGCGAACGGGUGAGUAAUGCGUGACCAACCUGCCCCAUGCUCCGGAAUAGCUCCUGGAAACGGGUGGUAAUGCCGGAUGCUCCCGCGCCCCGCAUGGGGUGNGGGGAAAGNUUUCNUGGCAUGGGAUGGGGUCNCGUCCUAUCANCUUGUUGGCGGGGNGAGGGCCCNCCAAGGCGUUGACGGGUANCCGGCCUGAAAGGGCNACCGGCCACAUUGGGACUGANAUACGGCCCAAACUCCUACGGGAGGNAGCAGNGGGGAAUAUUGCACAAUGGGCGCAAGCCUGAUGCACCAACGCCGCGUGCGGNAUGNAGGCCUUCGGGUUGNAAACCNCUUUUGUUUGGNAGCAAGCCCUUCNGGGUGAGUGUACCUUUCAAAUAAGCCACCGGNUAACUACNNGCCAGCAGCCGCGG
RNAcentral lists this ribosomal RNA (476 nucleotides) under Bifidobacterium thermophilum. RNAcentral's name for it is "partial 16S ribosomal RNA". It matches the Rfam family "Bacterial small subunit ribosomal RNA", at positions 36 to 520 of the family's 1533-position model. The record is from RNAcentral. Lineage: Bacteria; Bacillati; Actinomycetota; Actinomycetes; Bifidobacteriales; Bifidobacteriaceae.